This 230-nucleotide ribosomal RNA is filed under the name uncultured bacterium. Its description in RNAcentral is "partial 16S ribosomal RNA". It matches the Rfam family "Bacterial small subunit ribosomal RNA", at positions 103 to 334 of the family's 1533-position model. The record is from RNAcentral.
CGGGUGAGUAACACGUAUCCAACCUGCCGUCUACUCUUGACAGCCUUCUGAAAGGAAGAUUAAUACAAGAUGGCAUCAUGAGUCCGCAUGUUCACAUGAUUAAAGGUGUUCCGGUAGACGAUGGGGAUGCGUUCCAUUAGAUAGUAGGCGGGGUAACGGCCCACCUAGUCUUCGAUGGAUAGGGGUUCUGAGAGGAAGGUCCCCCACAUUGGAACUGAGACACGGUCCAA